This is a long non-coding RNA of Hippocampus comes (tiger tail seahorse), 196 nucleotides long. RefSeq lists it as uncharacterized. The record is from RefSeq and is a predicted model, not a curated record. Lineage: Eukaryota; Metazoa; Chordata; Actinopteri; Syngnathiformes; Syngnathidae. The transcript has 2 exons.
CGCUUUAAGAGGGGCGGGGCUGCCACUGACAGGUGGCCUUACGCGCGACGUUUAAAAAGCAGCAUCGCAUUAUGUUUCGUUAGUGAAUACACUCGCUUCGUCGUCGGCAUGGCCCAAUGGUUAUUACCUGCUUCUGAUACUACUUCUGUUACAUCUACUACUACUUCUGCUGCAAAGUGCUCCAAUAAAUGUGUCA